Molecule: ribosomal RNA, 566 nt
Filed under: uncultured archaeon
Lineage: Archaea
Description: bacterial SSU rRNA
Rfam family: Archaeal small subunit ribosomal RNA
Source: RNAcentral
CGCGAAUCGCCCUUCGGGGUGCCCAGGCGCGAAAACUUUACAAUGCUGGCAACAGCGAUAAGGGGACCUCGAGUGCCAGGUUACAAAUCUGGCUGUCGUGAUGCCUAAAAAGCAUUGCAUAGCAAGGGCCGGGCAAGACCGGUGCCAGCCGCCGCGGUAACACCGGCGGCUCGAGUGGUAACCGUUAUUAUUGGGUCUAAAGGGUCUGUAGCCGGCCGGAUAAGUCUCUUGGGAAAUCCAGCAGCUCAACUGUUGGGCUUUCAGGAGAUACUGUCUGGCUCGAGGCCGGGAGAGGUGAGAGGUACUUCAGGGGUAGGGGUGAAAUCUUGUAAUCCUUGAAGGACCACCAGUGGCGAAGGCGUCUCACCAGAACGGACCUGACGGCAAGGGACGAAAGCUAGGGGCACGAACCGGAUUAGAUACCCGGGUAGUCCUAGCCGUAAACGAUACUCGCUAGGUGUCGGCCACGGUGCGACCGUUGUCGGUGCCGUAGGGAAGCCGUGAAGCGAGCCACCUGGGAAGUACGGCCGCAAGGCUGAAACUUAAAGGAAUUGGCGGGGGAGCAC